Molecule: ribosomal RNA, 497 nt
Filed under: uncultured bacterium
Lineage: Bacteria
Description: partial 16S ribosomal RNA
Rfam family: Bacterial small subunit ribosomal RNA
Source: RNAcentral
GAUGAACGCUGGCGGCGUGCCUAAUACAUGCAAGUCGAGCGAACAGACGAGGAGCUUGCUCCUCUGACGUUAGCGGCGGACGGGUGAGUAACACGUGGAUAACCUACCUAUAAGACUGGGAUAACUUCGGGAAACCGGAGCUAAUACCGGAUAAUAUAUUGAACCGCAUGGUUCAAUAGUGAAAGACGGUUUUGCUGUCACUUAUAGAUGGAUCCGCGCCGCAUUAGCUAGUUGGUAAGGUAACGGCUUACCAAGGCAACGAUGCGUAGCCGACCUGAGAGGAUGAUCGGCCACACUGGAACUGAGACACGGUCCAGACUCCUACGGGAGGCAGCAGUAGGGAAUCUUCCGCAAUGGGCGAAAGCUUGACGGAGCAACGCCGCGUGAGUGAUGAAGGUCUUCGGAUCGUAAAACUCUGUUAUUAGGGAAGAACAAAUGUGUAAGUAACUAUGCACGUCUUGACGGUACCUAAUCAGAAAGCCACGGCUAACUACGUG